Mytilus californianus (California mussel) is the source of this 8523-nucleotide long non-coding RNA. RefSeq lists it as uncharacterized. NCBI's taxonomy places the organism in Eukaryota, Metazoa, Mollusca, Bivalvia, Mytilida, Mytilidae. The record is from RefSeq and is a predicted model, not a curated record. The transcript is spliced from 4 exons.
GGAGAUAAGUUGAAACUUAGACCAUCAGAUUCCAAUAUACAGCAAUUGCCGAAUCAUAUUGGUAUUAAAACAUUCCAGCUUGGAAUAGAACUUGGACUUACGGUUGUUCAGAUGCAGCAGAUUGAAAACAACCAUGUGACAAAUCUUCGUAGCCAAACAGAGGAGGUCCUUAACAAAUGGAGGAGACUUCCAGAAGCUACAUAUGAAGUUUUAGAACGGGCUCUUCAUCGCCUUCACUUGUCUCGAGUUUUAUCAUUCUUAACAUAUGAAGAAGGAUUAGAGGAACAAGUGGAAGUAGGAAUAGAGGAGGAAGUGGAAGUAAGAUUAAAAGAGGAAGUGGCAGAGAGAAUCAUACACGACAUACAAAUCAGUCAGAUUUUAGAUUAUAUGAUGUCACAUUUGGUAAUAUCAUCAGAUGACAGACGAAGCAUUGAACAACCUGUCAGACAAGAUGAUCAGAAUAAAGCAUUACUUGAAGUAGUGAACAAGAGGGGAGAGCCUACCUAUUCUGUGUUUGUUGAUGCACUACGAACAAGUGGAUACACAGAUCUAGCAAAUGAUUUGAAAUGUGAAUCACAUGAAGAAGCCUCAAGUGCAGCAUUAGUAUAUACUGAAAACAUGGAAAAUAAAGGGUUGUCAAAUUGGACUGUUCCGAUGUAUAAAGUUCGUCUACAAAAGAACUACUCAAACAUCAUUGACAGUAUACAGCAUGAGAAAAUAGUCGAUCAUCUGAUAUCACGUGAUGUGUUGACCAUAGCUGAUAGUCAAAUGAUAAAUGCUUGUCCAGCACAAAUACAAAAGAACAGGAAAUUAAUGGACAUACUUUUGCAUGAAAGUGAACAUGAAUUUAUUGAAUUUAUCAAAGCUCUCCGAGAAGACUCUGUAUAUGCAGAACUGGCAGAUGAAAUAGAAAACACAACAGUCGCAAGCAGAGAUAUAUCAACCAUUAAGAGUUGCUUCAAAUGAACUGAAGGAGAAGACAAGAUAAAAUACCUGAAACAAAAACCACAAAAUAUCGUCAAAGUCUUUUUUGUCAACAUCUCACCAUGAACAGAGAAGAUGAUGAUUGGAAGAAGACGUACAUAAAUUAACCAAAUCAAUAUAACCUUAUUAAAUUUGGAUCUAUAUACAUGUACUACCCAUUCAUUAUUUCAUUUUACCCCAAUAUUUGUAUCCUAAUAUUAUGUAUUUUUGGUUAACAACUGAUAAUAGGAAAAUUUGAAAUAUUUAUUUAUAAUAGCUAUAAUGUCGAGCUCUCAUGGUAGAAUUUAAAAGGUAUUUUAAUUAGUUGCUAAUUUUUUAUAAUAGUGUUUACCUGUAUAUUUAUGUUACCUGUAACUUAUCAUAUUGACCAAAAUUCUGGGAAGAGUAUAUUUUUUAUUGUAGUCAUUUGUUUUUUGUUUUUUUUUAUAUUUGCAAAGAUCAUUUAAAAUUUAUUUCAGUUUGUAAGUUAUUGAAUUUCAGCUUUAAGGUUUAUGAAAUUAGAUUAUUUAAGUGUAGUUAUAUAACAUAACAUAUAUCAAAUGUGAAGUUUUCGGGCAGAAUUAAUAGACAUGUUAGCAGUAUGUCUGAUACCUAAGAAAGCCAACAGAUGCAAGCGACUUAAAAUCAAACAUGAAUACCAGUGAUGUUUGACCUUUCCACAGAUAGUGUGGCAGAAACCUAAUACUGUGAAGGACAUAGACACUAAGGUGUUGAUAGUAUGACCGAAACUGUUUACUGUUAUAUUUAAACCUUUUACAAUGAAGGUUACAAUACAUACUCUAAGGUGCAGAUAGCUUGGCAGAAGAAAAAAUCUUCCAAGGAGAGAACUUAUUGUUUAAUGCUAUAUUCAGUUUAAAUUAAUACGAGCCAGUGUUAUCCCUUUGUGUCCUUUCUGAAACUAUUGGACCAUGCAAUUCGAUCCAAAAUCGGUAGAAAUUAUUUAGGAAAGGUCUUGUUUAAUGUUCUCUUUUAUGCUGUUUAAAUCAAAUGAAAAGAAUGUCUGCCUUCGGAAAUCUUAGACAGCAGGGGAUGUACGGCAAAUUUUGAUCGGGGGAUUUUUUCAUUAUUCUUCUCUGAGUGUACAAAGGAAUUGUUUUUUAUCUGUCAGAAAUUAAUCAUGUGAAAAGCAUUUGUUAAUGAUCAUUAUUUGUUAUAUAUCAGAUGGCAAACGUGAAACCAUUGGUUGUACAGUACACAAAUCUGUCAAAUCCUACACCUGCUGUAAAUAUUUCAACAAGAACCUGACAGGAAGUUGUGUGUUCUUGUGUCUCAAUCUUUAGCAUGUUAUGUUGUGUAUUAGGACAUAUUCAGUUUUCUUGCGGUUUAUAUUUUUUGUAGUGGUGUUGUCAGUUUGACUACGACGUGUGUGAUUUUAAUGUUUCCUUGGUAUAUUUUGACGCUUUGUAUUGCAUGGUUCUCUAGAAAUGAUGUCCAUUUGAUGAGAUAAAGAAUUUUACCAUCAGAGGCAAUCUUCAGUUCUGAUUGAAGAAGAACAUUAACAUCAGACAAACACUUUUUAAUUCAAAUAGAUAAUACACAGCCAAAGAAGGUGUUGUUUUAUUCUUAUGGAUGACAAACUCAACCACUAGGGGUAAUCUUUUAUUUUUGAUGGAUGAAAAACUCAACCACCAAAGGAAAUUUGGAAUUCUACUGGACGAAGAAGAAUCAACAACAAGGGGCAAUUUUGUAUUCUUAUGGACGAAAAACUCAACCACCAAGGGAAAUCUUUUUAUCUCAUGAACUCAACCACCAGGGGUAAUCUUUUAUUCUUAUGAACGAAGAACUCAACCACCAGGGGCAAUAUUUUAUUCUUAUGGAUGAAGAACUUAACCAUCAGGGGCAAUCUUUAGAGUUCGUCGACGAAGACUUUGACACCGGAGGCACAUUUUAAUUCUAAAAGACAACACCACCACAUGCAAUUUUUACUUCUAUUGCUGAAAAGUUAGGCUACUAGAUGCACUUUUUUAUUCUAAAUGAUUAAAAACAAGACAACCAGAGGCUAUUUGUUAUUUUAUUGCCGACAAACAAGACCACCAGAUGCAACUUUUAUUUCUAUUAACUGAUGAAGAACUCACCCAACUGAUGCGAAAUUCAGGUUUAUUGCUUAUUUUGUGUGCGUUUUUACAUGUCUCUUUGACAAAUAUCUUAUAUUGCAACCAUUGUAAAUAGGAGCGUGAACUAAAUAAUAUUGUAUAUAUAUUUUGCAGUAUAUUUUGUUUUUGUUACACAUGAAUUACAUUGUCACUUUACUUGGUGCUUAUUAAUAGACGUAGCUUUUUUGCAACUAACACAUGUAACAUUUAUCAUGAUUAGUUGAAAGUACAUACAGAUAAUAUUUAAGAGUAUGUAAUUUAUCAAGUGGUGUCUUAACUUUUUUUGUCAACGUAAAAUGCAGGCGUCUUUAGUAAAACCGGCAAAAUAUAGAGUGUGCACUCUUGUUAAACUGUGAAUGAUAAAUCAUUGCAACAUUCUUUUUUAUAUGUAAAGCUUGUUGAAGAAGUGAACGAGGGUUAUAUUUCAACAUCAAUGUCCCAUACACUUUCAAAUUUACAAAUACUUCAUCGUACAUGUAUUUGUUGGUUAUAAACUUUCGGAAAGUAUGUUUUAUCAACUGUCAGAGCUACACGAAAAAUGUCUUUUCCGAAAUAAGAAACGAAACUGGCUGGACAUAAGAUUUUUUUAAACUGUGCUCUUUGUAUAGUAACCUUUGUCAGUCAUACAUAGUAUGAUAGAUUAGAGUUGUACGUUGUUCUUCGCCAUGAGACUUAAAUAUGUCACGGGACGCAUAAUUUGUCAAGGAAUCAUGAAAACUGUCCACAGACACACAGAGUAAAUUUAAACAGAUGACGCUUAUCUAGUUAUCCUAUGAAAGUAAAAACAACAAGUUAUACAUGCGUCCGAAGCGCUUUUUUCGGCUGUACUUUGAUCAGGCACGCUCAAAGUCGAAUAUUUGAAAACCAAGGAUGUAUAAGAACCGAAACAGUUAAAGAUCUAUAUGACCAAACCGACAUAAAAAUAUUAAAAUCCACCUAAGGUCAAUUAUGCCUGAUGAGUUGAAACCUUAAAGGAUUAAAUGUGGUCUGUAUGAUAUUUGUGAUAUUUGUGAAAAUGGAACUUAAGUUUGUGAUAACAAAUCAAAAAUACUAACAAGCAUAUAUAUUUAAUGAGUUUAAAUACGUCACUGUUUGUGGUACCUGUGCUGUCGUUAAAGAAAGAUGUCCGUUGUUAUUCUGCGGUUUACAUGUUGUAAUGUACUAUUAUAUUAUUUAUGUAUGCCUUUCUCUCUGUUGAGUGUUCUUGCGUUUGUUUGUACUGUAUUCCUGUCACGUAGUGUUGUCAUUUUAGCGAUAUUUUUUAACAUAGCCAUAUAAGCGGGAAGUUUGGCUAGCCAUAAAACUAGGUUCAACCAACAAUUUUUUUUUAAAUGUCCUGUACCAUGUCCGGAAUAUAGCAGUUGUUAGUUGAUGUGUUUCCCGCGGUUUUAGUUUGUAACCCGGAUGUUUUUCUCUCAACCGAUUAAGGUAGAUUUCAACUCAGUCAAUCAACCUGUUUAAUUAAGAUAGAUUGAAUCACAACACACACGGUACUGUGCUUAUAUCUUUAGACUGCAUUGAAGAACUAUGAUUUUGUCGACAAGCAAUAACAACUGAAUAAAUGAUCCAUAUGCUCACUCAUUUAUUGUUUAUGUUAUAAGUUAUUCAUUGUUUGAAAUAGCACGAACCUUAUAUGUAUGUUGAUUGUAUGCAAGUUAUUCUUUAUUUGAAUCAAAAUGUUUUAUGUGUUUUCCUUUGCUUUUAGUUAUUCAUUAUGAAUUAUAAUUUUUGUUCAUUUACAUAUCAUGUAUAUAAUUAGUUCGGUAUUGCAAUAUGGACCUUCAAUUUAUAUGUUAUUGUUUAUGAGCUUUUCAUUAUAAUUGCAAAAAGUGCAUGAGUCAUUUAUUUUUUGUAUCGAAGCCUUGUUCUUUUAAUGUCUUUGUAUUUAGGAUAUUCUUUAUUUGAAUGGGGACUAUACAUGUGUACGUCAAUCAUUCAUAUUUUUUGUAUAUAAGUUAUUCUUUUUUUGAAUAGGGACCGUGCAUGUGUGUGCUUAUACCUUUAGACUGCAUUGAAGAACUAUGAUUUUCUCGACAAGCAAUAACAACUGAAUAAAUGAUCCAUAUGCUCACUCAUUUAUUGUUUAUGUUAUAAGUUAUUCAUUGUUUGAAACAGCACGAACCUUAUAUGUAUGUUGAUUGUAUGCAAGUUAUUCUUCAUUUUAAUCAAAAUGUUUUAUGUGUUUUUCUUUGCUUUUAGUUAUUCAUUAUGAAUUAUAAUUUUUGUUCAUUUACAUAUUAUGUAUAUAAUUAGUUCGGUAUUGCAGUAUUGACCUUCAAUUUAUAUGUUUUUGUGUAUGAGCUUUUCAUUAUAAUUGCAAAAAAGUGCAUGAGUUAUUUUUUUUUUUGUAUCGAAGCCUUGUUUUUUUUAAUGUCUUUGUAUUUAGGAUAUUCUUUAUUUGAAUGGGAACUAUACAUGUGUACGUCAAUCAUUCAUAUUCGUUUGUGUAUAAGAUAUUCUUUAUUUGAAUAGGGACCGUACAUGUGUAUGCAAUGCAUGAAUAUGACUGUGUAAAAAAGUUAUCCUUUAUUUGAAUGGGGACCAAAUAUUUGUAUGCAAUGCAUUCAUUUGGCUUUGUUUAUAAGUUAUUCUUUAUUUGAACGGGGACCACACAUAUGUAUGCCAUGCAUUCAUUUACAUUUGUAUAUAAGUUAUUCUGUAUUUGAACGGGGACAACACAUGUGUAUGCCAUGUAUUCAAUUGCAUAUGUAUAUAAGUUAUUCUUUUUUUGAAUUUGGGACCUUACAUGUAUAUGCAUUGCUAUCUUUUUUUUAUAAGUUUUUCAUUAUAUGCAUAAGAACCUUGCAAUUAAGUUUCUUUGUAUGUACAUGAUACCUAAUGUGAAUCUGGACCCUAUAUUGACAUUCUGUUGUAUAUAUCUUAUACAUUAUUACAAUCAGGAGCUUACAUUUUUAUGUUUAUAUCAGUACCUCCUUAUUUGAACCAAGACCUUAUAUUUUCAUUUUUAUAAAAGUUAUACUUUGUUUGAAAUAUUCAUAGAUAUAAGAAGAUGUGGUAUGAAUGCCAAUGAGACAACUCUCAAUCCAAAUCACAAUUUGUAAAAAGUCAACCAUUAUAAGUCAAAGUACGGCCUUCAACACGGAGCCUUGGCUCACACAUACAUGUUUUAUCCUUUGUUAUUAACUUGAAUAUAAUUUGAAUAAGGAUUACAUUUAUUCUCUGUUGUAUAUAACUUAUUCUCUAAUUUUUCUGCUAUUUUAAUAUAACAUUUCUUGAUCGGUGUGAGAAAAAUAUUUCUCCUCACUAGUGAAAUAUUUAUUCUCGGCAAAUGAAAUCUAAUUUUCUUGGUUUCUUCUGAAUUUCCUAUUGUGACUUCAUGAAAAAAAGGCGACCAUGCCUAAUGACGUCACAUAUAAAGAACACAACUUUCUGCAAAUCUUUUAAAAGGAAGGAUAAAAAUCAUUAAAGAAACAGAUUUCACCACUAUAACUCGUGGUUUUGUAUGGUAUUGACAAUAUUUACUUAUAGUUCCCCACUUUCAACAGUAAAAUUCUAAUUAUUUAAAAAGUUCGGCAAACCUCGCGCUAAAUAUUAAAAUUUAACUGUCUCGAGUGAAGAAAUAUCGUAACACACUUGUUGAAGUUGUGGAAUCCAUAUUUAUUUAGAAAUUUAGUAUUGUAAAUUUGUGUAUUCUGUGUGUAAUGUGCAUGAUAGUGAUUAACCUAUGUCAUUCUCAAAAUGUUCAAUAUUAUACUGUGUACCAGAGUUACCACCAUCUCGAAGAAUUUCAGACAGACAUCAAGAACAAACAAAAAUAAUAUAUGGUCACAGUUAUAUUAUUUAUACAAUGUUCAAAUAAGAUUUGUGAGCCAGUUUCUUAGAAGCACAUAUUCGACCUACGACAUGGUUCUAUGAAUGGCGUGUGCAUCUUUAGAUAACAAGCAAAAGCUCACAACUUAAACAGUCCAUGUAAAUUAUCAGAAAUACCUAAUGCUGACAGUUAUAACGGAUAUCAUGUGAAUGCUGCUUCUAUCUUACUUAACGUCUUAUUGAACAGCGGUAUACUACUGUUGCCUUUAUUUAACAAUGUAUGUGUAAAUGUAAUUUGUCCAUUUAAAAAGCUAAAAUUUCCCAAAAAAAGAAUCAAGGAGCAAGGCACAUUACACUUAUCUUCACAAGAGAGCUGAAUCUAGUGAUAUACUGGCCAUAACUUAAACAUGUCAAUGCUGUUCAUUAAACAAAUGCACGGAUGACCUACAAAUAACAUUGUUGGUUCAUUAAUUAAAUAAAUGUACAACACGAAGUUGUGGUAUCUAGUACGAGCUUUACAUACCGGUAAUCAAUACAUGCACGACAAGUAGUCAAUAAAUAUAUGCUGAAUGCUUACCACGCCCCUCUUGUUGAGAGGUGCACAUACUUCCACCUGUCCACAGUGGUUGUCGUAUGUCUUAUCUGACUGUUUAUUUGUAUUUUAAAAUUGAAUUAUUUGCAGUUUAAUUUACUCACAACUUGUAUAGACCCGAGGUGAUUAAAGCUUGUAAUCGUGUAAAGACAUCUGUCUAUCCUUGAAGGCUGUGUGUUGUCCCGGCUAAUAUUGAUACAACCCCAUCUUUUAUAAUUACCCAUCGAUGUUAUAUAGUUUAACAAAAUCAAAUGUUAUCAUUAACGGAACAAGUGAAACACAACUGCUAUAAUCCUGACUUGGUACAGGCAUUUUCCGAUAAAAAGGAUAGUUUAACCUGGAUUUAUAUCUAUGUAAACCUUCCAAUUGUAGGAUAAAGAUAUGAUCGUUUUUUUCAGUGUAUUUAAUAUUGACAUAUGUACUACUUGUAUAUGAUAUUUAUUAUUUGCUUAUGUUUAUAUAUGUUCUGUAACAUUUUCUUCCUAACUAUAAAGUAUCAACCACUAGUCAUGUUCAUUCCUUAAAAGCUUCACCAUGCUGUCAUGUUUUCUCUAUUUGGUAUACAAUUUUUUAAACGGAGUGUGUACUGUUCCGGCUAGCCGGAAGAAUAGGUAACAAUUUCUAUCUCCAGGCCAUCCGUUUGCACAUGAGCAAAUGUUCAAUAUCAAGAGCAAUGUCUUGUGACGUGGACAAUUUCGUUGGUGUGAUGAAGGAUUUCAAACGCGCAAAUGCAAAGGACGUUUGGAGAAUUGAAUAUAUAUUCAAUAUAUAAAUAAUUUUAUAUUUAAGGAUGGCUUUUUGUCCUUAUGAAAAUUACAGAGAAUUUGGUUGCUUUAAACACAAAUUUCCUCUACCUGUAUCAAUAGAGACAAAUCACAUAAAAGAAACGAUUUACAGGAAAACGACUUAAUGAGAUUAUCCUUGACUGCGUGAUUUUUAAGUUCUACUUUAAUGGAGAUCUAUGAACAUGCACUGAAAUGCCCUGACUGGGAAAAUUUACCCGGCUUGAGGGGAAACCCCUCUUUUAUUUAAAUGUUAUUCUGUUGUAGUUAUGUUCUCAAUAAAAAUUAUCAUGCUUUGCUA